Molecule: non-coding RNA, 642 nt
Organism: Zonotrichia albicollis (white-throated sparrow)
Lineage: Eukaryota; Metazoa; Chordata; Aves; Passeriformes; Passerellidae
Source: RefSeq, a predicted model, not a curated record
AUCAUGUCCUGUUUUCUGGUUUGAUUCAGUGGUCUACAAAGUCUCCUACCAUUACCACUUCCUGAGCUUUCUGAGUCAGGACGAGAUGGCUGCAGGAAGCAGCACCACAAAGUCAGCAGCAUGAAGUGGAUGAUGAUGUGGAGACAUUUCCUGAAAGCCUUCUGUCCUGGAACUUCCUGAAGGAUCUUGACAGUGUGAUGGCGUCCCACAGCUCCUUGUGCAUCUUCAGGGACUUUACCACAGCUGUUCACUGGUGAGAACAUGGAAGUUUUAUUCACUCAAAAAGCAGUGUGUUGGAGCCAAUCUACAGCUAGUGGCUGUAGAUGCUUUGCCUUUGGUUUGACAUCUCUUUUAGGCUCCCAGACACAUUGAAGGUCGGUUCCUUGUCAGAAGAGCUUGCCAAGUGCCUGGACCCUCAUUAAAUGCCUUGCUGUUGUAAUAACGGCAUGAGAACACCCAGCAAGUUUUUUGUGCCAGAGGAAACUUCUGUGAGAAAAAGAAGCAAGUACAUGAUGCUGUGCUUUCAACAGACAUCACUGAGAGCUGUGUUUGGGGACUGAUGUGUCAGCUGCCUAUCAAUACAGCCAUGGAGUUGAAUACAUCAGGAAAGCUUUAAGAAGAAUGGGAGAAAAAGAAAAAGAA